AAAAAAUCCCUUUCCGACCAGGGGGUCAAACAGAGGUGGAACUCACUGAAAACCAAUUUUGACUUCAGCUUUACUAAGUAAUUUACGACAAUGCCAGCCAGAGAUAAAAAUCUUCCAGAAAAGGAAAGCAGGCAGGGCACAAAGGAGAACAGAAGGAAGACCUUACUUUACAAAGCUUUAACUUGACAGAGUGGUUUCUUACCUGGUAGCUCAUGGGCUUCAUCCCAGUCCUCCAAGAUAGCAAGGUUAACAAUUGGACCCACUGGUUGAAAUUCAGAAAUACGUCAUUCACAAAGGAGUCCAGAUGUUGAACAUGUUAUUUGACAGUGUAACUAAUGUACCACAUGAACAGCAGCUUGCUCUGUGUUUCCAGUCUGUGAACAUCCUCUGGAAAGCUUGGAACCAAAUCUGACGUUCAGAUCCAGUCAGGGAUUAUUUUGUGGAAAAGAACGGGACCCACCCACGCUAACGGAACUAA
Long non-coding RNA from Lontra canadensis (Northern American river otter), 478 nucleotides. RefSeq lists it as uncharacterized. Lineage: Eukaryota; Metazoa; Chordata; Mammalia; Carnivora; Mustelidae. The transcript is spliced from 4 exons. The record is from RefSeq and is a predicted model, not a curated record.